UGACGAAUAAGCAUCGGCUAACUCCGUGCCAGCAGCCGCGGUAAUACGGGGGAUGCGAGCGUUAUCCGGAUUUAUUGGGUUUAAAGGGCGCGUAGGCGGGACGUCAAGUCAGCGGUAAAAGACUGCAGCUAAACUGUAGCACGCCGUUGAAACUGGCGCCCUGGAGACGAGACGAGGGAGGCGGAACAAGUGAAGUAGCGGUGAAAUGCAUAGAUAUCACUUGGAACCCCGAUAGCGAAGGCAGCUUCCCAGGCUCGUUCUGACGCUGAUGCGCGAGAGCGUGGGUAGCGAACAGGAUUAGAUACCCUGGUAGUCCACGCCGUAAACGAUGCUCACUGGAUCUUGGCGAUACACAGCCAGGGUUCAAGCGAAAGUAUUAAGUGAGCCACCUGGGGAGUACGUCGGCAACGAUGAAACUCAAAGGAAUUGACGGGGGCCCGCACAAGCGGAGGAACAUGUGGUUUAAUUCGAUGAUACGCGAGGAACCUUACCCGGGUUUAAAUGUAGAUUGCAUGAGGUGGAAACACUUCUUCCCUUCGGGGCUAUUUACAAGGUGCUGCAUGGUUGUCGUCAGCUCGUGCCGUGAGGUGUCGGGUUAAGUCCCAUAACGAGCGCAACCCCUAUCGCCAGUUGCCAUCGGUUGAAGCCGGGCACUCUGUCGAGACUGCCACCGUAAGGUGCGAGGAAGGCGGGGAUGACGUCAAAUCAGCACGGCCCUUACACCCGGGGCGACACACGUGUUACAAUGGCCGGUACAGAGGGCAGCCACGGGGUGACCCGGAGCGAAUCUCUAAAGCCGGUCGUAGUUCGGACUGGAGUCUGCAACCCGACUCCACGAAGUUGGAUUCGCUAGUAAUCGCGCAUCAGCCAUGGCGCGGUGAAUACGUUCCCGGGCCUUGUACACACCGCCCGUCAAGCCAUGGAAGCCGGGAGUACCUGAAGAUCGUGACCGCGAGGAACGGGCUAGGGUAAUACCGGUAACUGGGGCUAAGUCGUAACAAGGUAGCCGUACCGGAAGGUGCGGCUGGAACACCUCCUUUCUGGAGC
Molecule: ribosomal RNA, 1047 nt
Filed under: Butyricimonas virosa
Lineage: Bacteria; Pseudomonadati; Bacteroidota; Bacteroidia; Bacteroidales; Odoribacteraceae
Description: bacterial SSU rRNA
Rfam family: Bacterial small subunit ribosomal RNA
Source: RNAcentral